RNAcentral lists this ribosomal RNA (497 nucleotides) under uncultured bacterium. RNAcentral's name for it is "partial 16S ribosomal RNA". It matches the Rfam family "Bacterial small subunit ribosomal RNA", at positions 28 to 507 of the family's 1533-position model. The record is from RNAcentral.
GAUGAACGCUGGCGGCGUGCCUAAUACAUGCAAGUCGAGCGAACAGACGAGGAGCUUGCUCCUCUGACGUUAGCGGCGGACGGGUGAGUAACACGUGGAUAACCUACCUAUAAGACUGGGAUAACUUCGGGAAACCGGAGCUAAUACCGGAUAAUAUAUUGAACCGCAUGGUUCAAUAGUGAAAGACGGUUUUGCUGUCACUUAUAGAUGGAUCCGCGCCGCAUUAGCUAGUUGGUAAGGUAACGGCUUACCAAGGCAACGAUGCGUAGCCGACCUGAGAGGGUGAUCGGCCACACGGGAACUGAGACGCGGUCCAGACUCCUACGGGAGGCAGCAGUAGGGAAUCUUCCGCAAUGGGCGAAAGCCUGACGGAGCAACGCCGCGUGAGUGAUGAAGGUCUUCGGAUCGUAAAACUCUGUUAUGAGGGAAGAACAAAUGUGUAAGUAACUAUGCACGUCUUGACGGUACCUAAUCAGAAAGCCACGGCUAACUACGUG